GUGGGGAAUAUUGGACAAUGGGCGAAAGCCUGAUCCAGCAAUGCCGCGUGAGUGAUGAAGGCCUUAGGGUUGUAAAGCUCUUUUACCAGGGAUGAUAAUGACAGUACCUGGAGAAUAAGCUCCGGCUAACUCCGUGCCAGCAGCCGCGGUAAUACGGAGGGAGCUAGCGUUGUUCGGAAUUACUGGGCGUAAAGCGCGCGUAGGCGGUUUAUCAAGUCAGGGGUGAAAUCCCGGGGCUCAACCCCGGAACUGCCCUUGAAACUGGUUCACUAGAAUCCUGGAGAGGCGAGUGGAAUUCCGAGUGUAGAGGUGAAAUUCGUAGAUAUUCGGAAGAACACCAGUGGCGAAGGCGACUCGAUGGACAGGUAUUGACGCUGUGGUGCGAAAGCGUGGGGAGCAAACAGGAUUAGAAACCCUGGUAGUCC
RNAcentral lists this ribosomal RNA (425 nucleotides) under uncultured bacterium. Its description in RNAcentral is "partial 16S ribosomal RNA". It matches the Rfam family "Bacterial small subunit ribosomal RNA", at positions 354 to 796 of the family's 1533-position model. The record is from RNAcentral.